RNAcentral lists this ribosomal RNA (303 nucleotides) under uncultured bacterium. Its description in RNAcentral is "partial 16S ribosomal RNA". It matches the Rfam family "Bacterial small subunit ribosomal RNA", at positions 507 to 807 of the family's 1533-position model. The record is from RNAcentral.
AGCAGCCGCCGCGGUAAUACGAAGGGUGCAAGCGUUACUCGGAAUUACUGGGCGUAAAGCGUGCGUAGGUGGUGGUUUAAGUCCGUUGUGAAAGCCCUGGGCUCAACCUGGGAAUUGCAGUGGAUACUGGGUCACUAGAGUGUGGUAGAGGAUAGUGGAAUUUCCGGUGUAGCAGUGAAAUGCGUAGAGAUCGGAAGGAACAUCUGUGGCGAAGGCGACUAUCUGGGCCAACACUGACACUGAGGCACGAAAGCGUGGGGAGCAAACAGGAUUAGAUACCCGUGUAGUCCCUGUCUCUUAUAC